GCUAAACGCGAAGAACCUUACCAGGCCUUGACAUGCAGAGAACUUUCCAGAGAUGGAUUGGUGCCUUCGGGAACUCUGACACAGGUGCUGCAUGGCUGUCGUCAACUCGUGUCGUGAGAUGUUGGGUUAAGUCCCGUAACGAGCGCAACCCUUGUCCUUAGUUACCAGCACGUUAUGGUGGGCACUCUAAGGAGACUGCCGGUGACAAACCGGAGGAAGGUGGGGAUGACGUCAAGUCAUCAUGGCCCUUACGGCCUGGGCUACACACGUGCUACAGUGGUCGGUACAGAGGGUUGCCAAGCCGCGAGGUGGAGCUAAUCUCACAAAACCGAUCGUAGUCCGGAUCGCAGUCUGCAACUCGACUGCGUGAAGUCGGAAUCGCUAGUAAUCGCGAAUCAGAAUGUCGCGGUGAAUACGUUCCCGGGUCUUGUACACAC
Molecule: ribosomal RNA, 437 nt
Filed under: uncultured bacterium
Lineage: Bacteria
Description: bacterial SSU rRNA
Rfam family: Bacterial small subunit ribosomal RNA
Source: RNAcentral